This is a microRNA precursor of Danaus plexippus plexippus, 86 nucleotides long. It matches the Rfam family "mir-67 microRNA precursor family". Lineage: Eukaryota; Metazoa; Arthropoda; Insecta; Lepidoptera; Nymphalidae. The record is from Rfam.
AGUGCCAGUGACUCACUCAACCUGGGUGUGAUGUGUGCACUCUGUGCUCGGCCCAUCACAACCUCCUUGAGUGAGCGACUGUGGCU